AGUGGGACCCAAAGAUGAAUAAAUUUGCCCUCACGUGAUACCAUCACGAGAAAGCGAUCGGUCGCCACCGCUUCUCUCUCUCUCUUACAGGGCACGUGCCCCUCACGUCUCUACUCUUCCUCUCCCAUUUGCCCGUACCAAAUAAAAAUCUCACUCUCUACUUAACGGCAACGUUUGGAGUUAAACGGCGUCAAAGAGUGUCCAACAGUGCGGCGACUCUCUCGUUAGGAGAUGAUAUGGGACCCACCGCACGCGAGACGGAAGGCAAAUUGUUAACGGCAGGGAAUGGGCACCCACGUGACCAUCCUUCUCUGCUCCUCCUCCUCUUCUCCAAAUCUCACUUUCACCUUCUUGUCUUUCCU
This is a long non-coding RNA of Arabidopsis thaliana (thale cress), 362 nucleotides long. RefSeq annotates it as other RNA. NCBI's taxonomy places the organism in Eukaryota, Viridiplantae, Streptophyta, Magnoliopsida, Brassicales, Brassicaceae. The transcript has a single exon. The record is from RefSeq.